Molecule: non-coding RNA, 29 nt
Filed under: Homo sapiens (human)
Lineage: Eukaryota; Metazoa; Chordata; Mammalia; Primates; Hominidae
Source: RNAcentral
UCCCCCAAGAGUGAGUGCAGCAAGGCCCC